This 253-nucleotide ribosomal RNA is filed under the name uncultured bacterium. Its description in RNAcentral is "partial 16S ribosomal RNA". It matches the Rfam family "Bacterial small subunit ribosomal RNA", at positions 524 to 776 of the family's 1533-position model. The record is from RNAcentral.
UACGUAGGGCGCAAGCGUUGUCCGGAAUUAUUGGGCGUAAAGAGCUCGUAGGCGGUUUGUCGCGUCGGCUGUGAAAACCUAGGGCUCAACUCUGGGCUUGCAGCCGAUACGGGCAAACUAGAAUUCGGUAGGGGAGACUGGAAUUCCUGGUGUAGCGGUGAAAUGCGCAGAUAUCAGGAGGAACACCGGUGGCGAAGGCGGGUCUCUGGGCCGAUAUUGACGCUGAGGAGCGAAAGCGUGGGGAGCGAACAGG